AAUCCAUACCUUCCUUGAAAAAUCAUCAAUGAAUGUGACAAAGUACCUUGCACCUCCUAUUGAUGGCGUCCUCAUAGUCUACAAACAUCAGAAUGGACUAUCUCCAACAACUUGGUUGCACAUGUUGUAAUUCUAUUUGGAAAUAUAGCCUUUUGUUGUUUGCCUUAAAUACAACCUUCACAAGCAAGUAUCAUAGCAUUGUGGCUUAUAUGACCAAGAUCUAAGCCACUUACCAUGGAUUGGAGCUCCUUCAUGCUCUUGGUAUUCAAAUGACGAAGGCAUCGAUGCCAAAUACCAAACUUAUCUUAAUUUUGAGAAAAUUUAGCAAAUACCGCCACUUCAACUCCAUUCACAUUCUUAU
This 361-nucleotide long non-coding RNA is filed under the name Physcomitrium patens. Its description in RNAcentral is "long non-coding RNA (PPAT_LNC013110)". Lineage: Eukaryota; Viridiplantae; Streptophyta; Bryopsida; Funariales; Funariaceae. The record is from RNAcentral.